CCGUAGGGGGCCCUCUUUGCUCUUCCUCCCUGGUCUUCCCUCUCGUUUCUUCUUUUCUUCCUUUCUUCUUUUCCCUCCCCCGUCUCCCCCGGGGAAUUUCAGGGGAAACCGCCGCUCUUGAGGCAGGUAGAGGUGACCGGAACGUGUGGUGGAGCGGUGAAAUGCGUAGAUAUCACACGGAACGCCGGUGGUGAAAACGGGUCACUGGGCCUGUCCUGACGCUGAGACGCGAGAGCGUGGGGAGCAAACAG
Molecule: ribosomal RNA, 251 nt
Filed under: uncultured prokaryote
Description: partial 16S ribosomal RNA
Rfam family: Bacterial small subunit ribosomal RNA
Source: RNAcentral